Molecule: small nucleolar RNA, 132 nt
Filed under: Dasypus novemcinctus (nine-banded armadillo)
Lineage: Eukaryota; Metazoa; Chordata; Mammalia; Cingulata; Dasypodidae
Description: Small nucleolar RNA SNORA38 (ENSDNOG00000042831.1)
Rfam family: Small nucleolar RNA SNORA38
About the family: ACA38 is a member of the H/ACA class of snoRNA that guide the sites of modification of uridines to pseudouridines.
Source: RNAcentral
ACCAAGUGGAAAGGCAUGUCGGUGGUUUCCUGUCUUUGGACACAUAAGAAUUGGAGGCAAAGAGAUGUGACCUUGGAGAAGUCUGAAACCUGCUUGCUUCCUGCAGGCUUAAGAUCAUCCUUUCCCACACAG